AAAUCCUCACACUCACCGUAAAAAAGCAACAAGAGGAGGAAUCUCUUCCUAAAGCACUUCAUGCCAGCAAAAAAAGUGUGUCGCAACACCUGUUCCUACUCCUACCUCUUCUUUUCCAGAUGCAUGGGUUUGUUCUGUGAGAAAGGGCCAAUCAGUAAAAUGUCCUAUUUCUAAAUCCUUAGAUUUUCAUCCUCCCUCUCC
RNAcentral lists this long non-coding RNA (201 nucleotides) under Capsicum annuum. RNAcentral describes it as "long non-coding RNA (CANN_LNC017937)". Lineage: Eukaryota; Viridiplantae; Streptophyta; Magnoliopsida; Solanales; Solanaceae. The record is from RNAcentral.